This 253-nucleotide ribosomal RNA is filed under the name uncultured bacterium. Its description in RNAcentral is "partial 16S ribosomal RNA". It matches the Rfam family "Bacterial small subunit ribosomal RNA", at positions 524 to 776 of the family's 1533-position model. The record is from RNAcentral.
UACGAAGGGGGCUAGCGUUGCUCGGAAUCACUGGGCGUAAAGCGCACGUAGGCGGGUUCUUAAGUCAGGGGUGAAAUCCUGGAGCUCAACUCCAGAACUGCCUUUGAUACUGGGAAUCUCGAGUCCGGGAGAGGUGAGUGGAACUGCGAGUGUAGAGGUGAAAUUCGUAGAUAUUCGCAAGAACACCAGUGGCGAAGGCGGCCGACUGGUCCGGUUCUGACGCUGAGGCGCGAAAGCGUGGGGAGCAAACAGG